This 467-nucleotide ribosomal RNA is filed under the name uncultured bacterium. RNAcentral describes it as "partial 16S ribosomal RNA". It matches the Rfam family "Bacterial small subunit ribosomal RNA", at positions 29 to 507 of the family's 1533-position model. The record is from RNAcentral.
ACGAACGCUGGCGGCGUGCUUAACACCUGCAAGUCGAACGGAAAGGCCCUGCUUUUGUGGGGUGCUCGAGUGGCGAACGGGUGAGUAACACGUGAGUAACCUGCCCUUGACUUUGGGAUAACUUCAGGAAACUGGGGCUAAUACCGGAUAGGAGCUCCUGCUGCAUGGUGGGGGUUGGAAAGUUUCGGCGGUUGGGGAUGGACUCGCGGCUUAUCAGCUUGUUGGUGGGGUAGUGGCUUACCAAGGCUUUGACGGGUAGCCGGCCUGAGAGGGUGACCGGGCACAAUGGGACUGAGAUACGGACCAGACUCCAACGGGAGGCAGCAGUGGGGAAUAUUGCACAAUGGGCGGAAGCCUGAUGCAGCAACGCCGCGUGCGGGAUGACGGCCUUCGGGUUGUAAACCGCUUUCGCCUGUGACGAAGCGUGAGUGACGGUAAUGGGUAAAGAAGCACCGGCUAACUACGUG